GAUGAACGCUGGCGGCGUGCCUAAUACAUGCAAGUCGAGCGAACAGACGAGGAGCUUUCUCCUCUGACGUUAGCGGCGGACGGGUGAGUAACACGUGGAUAACCUACCUAUAUGACUGGGAUGACUUCGGGAAACCGGAGCUAAUACCGGAGAAUAUAUUGAACCGCAGGGUUCAAUAGUGAAAGACGGUUUUGCUGUCACUUAUAGAUGGAUCCGCGCCGCAUUAGCUAGUUGGUAAGGUAACGGCUUACCAAGGCGACGAUGCGUAGCCGACCUGAGAGGGUGAUCGGCCACACUGGAACUGAGACACGGUCCAGACUCCUACGGGAGGCAGCAGUAGGGAAUCUUCCGCAAUGGGCGAAAGCCUGACGGAGCAACGCCGCGUGAGUGAUGAAGGUCUUCGGAUCGUAAAACUCUGUUAUUAGGGAAGAACAAAUGUGUAAGUAACUAUGCACGUCUUGACGGUACCUAAUCAGAAAGCCCCGGCUAACUACGUG
Molecule: ribosomal RNA, 497 nt
Filed under: uncultured bacterium
Lineage: Bacteria
Description: partial 16S ribosomal RNA
Rfam family: Bacterial small subunit ribosomal RNA
Source: RNAcentral